RNAcentral lists this transfer RNA (70 nucleotides) under Marmota marmota marmota (Alpine marmot). It matches the Rfam family "tRNA". From Rfam's summary of the family: Transfer RNA (tRNA) molecules are approximately 80 nucleotides in length. Their secondary structure includes four short double-helical elements and three loops (D, anti-codon, and T loops). Further hydrogen bonds mediate the characteristic L-shaped molecular structure. tRNAs have two regions of fundamental functional importance: the anti-codon, which is responsible for specific mRNA codon recognition, and the 3' end, to which the tRNAs corresponding amino acid is attached (by aminoacyl-tRNA synthetases). tRNAs cope with the degeneracy of the genetic code in two manners: having more than one tRNA (with a specific anti-codon) for a particular amino acid; and 'wobble' base-pairing, i.e. permitting non-standard base-pairing at the 3rd anti-codon position. RNAcentral also lists the same sequence under 1 other name. Lineage: Eukaryota; Metazoa; Chordata; Mammalia; Rodentia; Sciuridae. The record is from Rfam by way of RNAcentral.
UGGGUUGUAGCUCAGUGGUAGAGCACUUGCCUAGCAUGUGAGGCACUGGGUUUGACUCUCAGCACCACAU